GAUGAACGCUGACAGAAUGCUUAACACAUGCAAGUCCACUUGAACUUCGGUUUGGGUGGCGGACGAGUGAGUAACGCGUAAAGAACUUGCCUCACGGCUAGGGACAACAUUUGGAAACGAAUGCUAAUACCUGAUAUUAUGAUUAUAUGGCAUCGUAUAAUUAUGAAAGCUAUAUGCGCUGUGAGAGAGCUUUGCGUCCCAUUAGCUAGUUGGAGAGGUAACAGCUCACCAAGGCGAUGAUGGGUAGCCGGCCUGAGAGGGUGAUCGGCCACAAGGGGACUGAGACACGGCCCUUACUCCUACGGGAGGCAGCAGUGGGGAAUAUUGGACAAUGGACCGAGAGUCUGAUCCAGCAAUUCUGUGUGCACGAUGAAGUUUUUCGGAAUGUAAAGUGCUUUCAGUUGGGAAGAAAAAAAUGACGGUACCAACAGAAGAAGUGACGGCUAAAUACGU
Molecule: ribosomal RNA, 453 nt
Filed under: uncultured bacterium
Lineage: Bacteria
Description: partial 16S ribosomal RNA
Rfam family: Bacterial small subunit ribosomal RNA
Source: RNAcentral